This is a long non-coding RNA of Sinocyclocheilus anshuiensis, 670 nucleotides long. RefSeq lists it as uncharacterized. The transcript has 3 exons. NCBI's taxonomy places the organism in Eukaryota, Metazoa, Chordata, Actinopteri, Cypriniformes, Cyprinidae. The record is from RefSeq and is a predicted model, not a curated record.
AUGAAACCGACAUUAUAAGAGCGUUUGCUCAUCUACCUCGUGGACGGACGCGCUGCGCAGAGUUGUACCGAGAGAAGAGCCUUAUUCGUCCUCUGGGUCGUGUGGAGUCCAUUGGAAGCGGCUUAAAUUUGGGUUUCGGAGCGUUUAUUUGCAUUCGACGGGGGAAAAAAUCUCGGAUUGUUUCCCUCCAAAACAACUUCUCUUCGGCUGAAGCAAGAAAGUCAUAUACCUCUCGGAUGGCAUUUGGACAUCUCUGCCUGGAUGGAGCAUCAUGAAGUCGGAGCUGCUUGUAAUCCCUGGAGACCUGUCAGUUGACCAGACAUUACUGUGUAACAGGGGUCCACAACACUAACAGCAACCAGGACAGCAAGGAGCCUGGGGAUUGGGGUUUGACCAACUGAGCUUUACCAUCCACAGUUAAACUACGGUCUAGUCAUGUAGGUUUGUGCUUGACAAACAGAAGGAGGGUCAGAGCAUUGGCAGUGAAUUUUAGGUUGUGAUGUUGGCUUUUAGGGAUGCCACUGAAAUGUAGUUAUAUGUAUGAACACACUUUUAUAUUUCAGACACUGUUAAUUUUAGAAGUCAGUUAGUUCUCAACACAUGGAGACUCUUUUAUCUUGAUAUCAUACUAUAGAGAUUGUCUGUUCCCCGAACUAAUACAAAAAAAUGA